RNAcentral lists this ribosomal RNA (1376 nucleotides) under uncultured bacterium. Its description in RNAcentral is "bacterial SSU rRNA". It matches the Rfam family "Bacterial small subunit ribosomal RNA". The record is from RNAcentral.
AGAGUUUGAUCCUGGCUCAGGACGAACGCUGGCGGCGCGCCUAACACAUGCAAGUCGAACGGAGCUGAGAGAAGCUUGCUUUUCUUAGCUUAGUGGCGAACGGGUGAGUAACGCGUGAGUAACCUGCCCUGGAGUGGGGGACAACAGUUGGAAACGACUGCUAAUACCGCAUAAGCCCACGAUCCGGCAUCGGAUUGAGGGAAAAGGAUUUAUUCGCUUCAGGAUGGACUCGCGUCCAAUUAGCUAGUUGGUGAGGUAACGGCCCACCAAGGCGACGAUUGGUAGCCGGACUGAGAGGUUGAACGGCCACAUUGGGACUGAAACACGGCCCAGACUCCUACGGGAGGCAGCAGUGGGGGAUAUUGCACAAUGGGGGAAACCCUGAUGCAGCGACGCCGCGUGGAGGAAGAAGGUUUUCGGAUUGUAAACUCCUGUCGUUAGGGACGAUAAUGACGGUACCUAACAAGAAAGCACCGGCUAACUACGUGCCAGCAGCCGCGGUAAAACGUAGGGUGCAAGCGUUGUCCGGAAUUACUGGGUGUAAAGGGAGCGCAGGCGGACCGGCAAGUUGGAAGUGAAAACUAUGGGCUCAACCCAUAAAUUGCUUUCAAAACUGCUGGCCUUGAGUAGUGCAGAGGUAGGUGGAAUUCCCGGUGUAGCGGUGGAAUGCGUAGAUAUCGGGAGGAACACCAGUGGCGAAGGCGACCUACUGGGCACCAACUGACGCUGAGGCUCGAAAGCAUGGGUAGCAAACAGGAUUAGAUACCCUGGUAGUCCAUGCCGUAAACGAUGAUUACUAGGUGUUUGGAGGAAUUGACCCCUUCAGUGCCGCAGUUAACACAAUAAGUAAUCCACCUGGGGAGUACGACCGCAAGGUUUGAAACUCAAAGGAAUUGACGGGGGCCCGCACAAGCAGUGGAGUAUGUGGUUUAAUUCGAAGCAACGCGAAGAACCUUACCAGGUCUUGACAUCCGAUGCAUAGUGCAGAGAUGCAUGAAGUCCUUCGGGACAUCGAGACAGGUGGUGCAUGGUUGUCGUCAGCUCGUGUCGUGAGAUGUUGGGUUAAGUCCCGCAACGAGCGCAACCCUUAUUGCCAGUUACUACGUAAGAGGACUCUGGCGAGACUGCCGUUGACAAAACGGAGGAAGGUGGGGAUGACGUCAAAUCAUCAUGCCCUUUAUGACCUGGGCUACACACGUACUACCAUGGCGUUUAACAAAGAGAAGCAAGACCGCGAGGUGGAGCAAAACUCAAAAACAACGUCUCAGUUCGGAUUGUAGUCUGCAACUCGACUACAUGAAGCUGGAAUCGCUAGUAAUCGCGAAUCAGCAUGUCGCGGUGAAUACGUUCCCGGGUCUUGCACUCACCGCCCGUCA